This 374-nucleotide ribosomal RNA is filed under the name uncultured eukaryote. RNAcentral's name for it is "partial 18S ribosomal RNA". It matches the Rfam family "Eukaryotic small subunit ribosomal RNA", at positions 592 to 976 of the family's 1831-position model. The record is from RNAcentral.
UAAUAGCGUAUACUUAAGUUGUUGCAGUUAAAAAGCUCGUAGUCGGAUGUCGGGCUUGGGCAGGCUGUCGGCUUUUGUCGGACGGCAGGCUCGGGCCUUUCUGCCUGGGGACUGCGUCACACUUCACUGUGGGGCGUCAGGACGCAGGCCGUUUACUUUGAAAAAAUUAGAGUGUUCAAAGCAGGCCUACGCUUGAAUACAUUAGCAUGGAAUAAUGGAAUAGGACUUUGGUGCCAUUCUGUUGGUUUAUGGAACCGAAGUAAUGAUUAAUAGGGACAGUUGGGGCCGUUUAUAUUUCGUUGUCAGAGGUGAAAUUCUUGGAUUUACGAAAGAUAAACUUCUGCGAAAGCAUUCGGCAAGGAUGUUUUCAUUGA